UGGGGAAUAUUGGACAAUGGGCGAAAGCCUGAUCCAGCCAUGCCGCGUGUGUGAAGAAGGUCUUCGGAUUGUAAAGCACUUUAAGUUGGGAGGAAGGGCAGUAAGCGAAUACCUUGCUGUUUUGACGUUACCGACAGAAUAAGCACCGGCUAACUCUGUGCCAGCAGCCGCGGUAAUACAGAGGGUGCAAGCGUUAAUCGGAAUUACUGGGCGUAAAGCGCGCAUAGGUGGUUCGUUAAGUUGAAUGUGAAAGCCCCGCGCUCAACCUGGGAACUGCAUCCAAAACUGGCGAGCUAGAGUAGGGCAGAGGGUGGUGGAAUUUCCUGUGUAGCGGUGAAAUGCGUAGAUAUAGGAAGGAACACCAGUGGCGAAGGCGAACACCUGCGCUCAUACUGACAAUGAGGUGUGAAAACGUGGGGAGUAAACAGG
Molecule: ribosomal RNA, 429 nt
Filed under: Pseudomonadota bacterium
Lineage: Bacteria; Pseudomonadati; Pseudomonadota
Description: Proteobacteria bacterium partial 16S ribosomal RNA
Rfam family: Bacterial small subunit ribosomal RNA
Source: RNAcentral